This 3412-nucleotide long non-coding RNA is filed under the name Triticum aestivum (bread wheat). RNAcentral's name for it is "long non-coding RNA (TAES_LNC011297)". The record is from RNAcentral. Lineage: Eukaryota; Viridiplantae; Streptophyta; Magnoliopsida; Poales; Poaceae.
CGGAACUUUGUCUGACCUGAGGUACGUACUACAGUCUCAUGAAUUUGAAUGUGUCAUCAACUAUUACUUAUUAGUUCUGUAUAUGUUCUUUAGUAUAUUGUAAGCUCUGAACAAGACAAUGCCUAAAAGGGUCAGACAUUGCUUUUCCGUGCCAUUCAGUUUUUUCAGUUGAGUUGGCUACUUAAUUUUCCACUAUGUUAAUUCUUUCGUUUGCAAUUUCUCAUUGGUGUUCAUGUAAUUACCCUGCAACCUUUCUUAGUAGUGCCUAACAUUUGAUUGUUGUGCUUACAUAGAACUGGAACUUUUUUGGAUUUUGUAAGGCUGCGGAUAACAAGCCGGUGAGAGCUUAUGGUUCAGUUAGAACCUACCUCUUUCUCUAUCCUAAUGCGAUUUAUAAUGUUUUAUUCUGGUGAGCAUAUGAGACAUUGCUUAUGGUUCUAACUCUAUGGGACAAUCUGAAGUUAUUUGUCUCAUCGUUGUGCCACAAGUUUCUGACAUCACCGUGCCUGUACACCAUCGACUUCACUGGAAAUAUGUCUGCACGUACUUCAUCGUCCGCCGGAACUUUGUCUGACCUAAGGUACGUACUGCAGUCUCAUGAAUUUGAAUGUGUCAUCAACUAUUACUUAUUAGUUCUGUAUAUGUUCUUUAGUAUAUUGUAAGCUCUGAACAAGACAAUGCCUAAAAGGGUCAGACAUUGCUUUUCCGUGCCAUUCAGUUUUUUCAGUUGAGUUGGCUACUUAAUUUUCCACUAUGUUAAUUCUUUCGUUUGCAAUUUCUCAUUGGUGUUCAUGUAAUUACCCUGCAACCUUUCUUAGUAGUGCCUAACAUUUGAUUGUUGUGCUUACAUAGAACUGGAACUUUUUUGGAUUUUGUAAGGCUGUGGAUAACAAGCCGGUGCGAGCUUAUGGUUCAGUUAGAACCUACCUCUUUCUCUAUCCUAAUGCGAUUUAUAAUGUUUUAUUCUGGUGAGCAUAUGAGACAUUGCUUAUGGUUCUAACUCUAUGGGACAAUCUGAAGUUAUUUGUCUCAUCGUUGUGCCACAAGUUUCUGACAUCACCGUGCCUGUACACCAUCGACUUCACUGGAAAUAUGUCUGCACGUACUUCAUCGUCCGCCGGAACUUUGUCUGACCUGAGGUACGUACUGCAGUCUCAUGAAUUUGAAUGUGUCAUAAACUAUUACUUAUUAGUUCUGUAUAUGUUCUUUAGUAUAUUGUAAGCUCUGAACAAGACAAUGCCUAAAAGGGUCAGACAUUGCUUUUCCGUGCCAUUCAGUUUUUUCAAUUGAGUUGGCUACUUAAUUUUCCACUAUGUUAAUUCUUUCGUUUGCAAUUUCUCAUUGGUGUUCAUGUAAUUACCCUGCAGCCUUUCUUAGUAGUGCCUAACAUUUGAUUGUUGUGCUUACAUAGAACUGGAAGUUUUUUGGAUUUUGUAAGGCUGCGGAUAACAAGCCGGUGCGAGCUUAUGGUUCAGUUAGAACCUACCUCUUUCUCUAUCCUAAUGCGAUUUAUAAUGUUUUAUUCUGGUGAGCAUAUGAGGCUGCAGUACUAGGUUGAUGCUCAGAAGUUAAAUUGCUUGCUGAUUAAUUUGCGUCAUAUUAUUCACAUCAAACAGCAGCAAUUUUCUUAUCCAAGUUCAUUUGAUUUUGUAGGCAGGGGGAUUCAAUACCAAGAUUUAUGAUUUGGCAUAAGUGAGAUGACAUAUAGGUGAGUAUGUUGUUCUGGCUUUAUGAUACGAGUGUUUUGCACAAAUAUUUCUCAAUAAUGAGCAUAUGUUCUUUUCUGAUGUUGCAUUAGUCAAUGUUUUGAAACUGAUGUAUCUGUGACAAAAAUAUUGAAGUUAUGGACAUGUUGAUAAUUGGUUAUCAAGCAAAGGUACGUUCACUAAAUGUUAGUGGUUAUCGGAAGAAGAAAUCAGUUCAUUUACCGCUGCAGUAAAAAGUGGCACAACUGAUUUUGUUCAGAUACUAAAUUUGCUUGCAUGCUAUUUUUAUAGGCAUUUCCUACAUAUUGAGGGGUAUGCGUGAUAUCUUUUCUAAGGCCAUGAAAUAUUUUCAGGUAGCUUUUCUUAAUAAGGUCAAUGGCUUGCGUACUGUACUUCUAUAGAUCCUUUCUUUCAUAAUGAGCUAUGUGCAUACUCUCUUUCCUCAUUUGAUCAGGGAAGCUACUCAGUAUUUUUGUUGAAGUUAGUAUAACAUGUCUCAUAAAUUCAGAAGUUAUUAUAACAUGACAAUGAGGUUGCAUCAUGAGUCUGAAACCAAGCCUCUCCUGUUCACAUAAUGAUCUCCUCACAAAACCAAAAUCAUUUGAUGAUUUAUAUACAAUUUUAUUAUACUCAUUCUCCUGUCAGAUUGAGAAUGUGGUUCAUGUAGAAAGGACUACAUGCAGAAAUAAGGAUCAUAGUAAUACUUUUCCAAUGAUUCUCUCGGAGGUCAUGUCUUAAUGUUAUUCAAGGAUUUUGAUAUCCAAAAGUUAUGACAUAUUAGAUAGGGAGGUAGCCAUCUGUGUCCCGGAGGCCACUGUAGGCUGCACUGAAGGGCACACUGCAAUUAGCAGGUACAUGGAUGCGGCGAUCCCGGAUGUGCUUUGCUGCUGUCAUUUUUUUAUCAAGGACGCCACUGUCCAAGUCAUUCUUCUGCCUUGGUUAGUGGUGCUUCUCUUCCAUUCCACAUACGAACACCCAUGGAGAAGCUCAUUUAUAAAACAUCCAUCUAUGAAUGAAUUUCUCAAAUAUUACCAUCUGCAAUGGACAUGAUAAUGGUAGAACACUUGUGAUGAUGGACAUAUGUUUAAGGUUUUAUUUUCCCGUUGCAACGCACGGGCAUCACACCAAGGAUUUUUGUUAAUUUCACUUUACUUGGUAUAUGAACUAAUCCUGAAUGGAAAAUAGUUUGUGCUGCUAUCAUCGAUAGAUUAUAAUAAACAUUGCUAGCUUCUUGUGUGUAGGCUUGUUCUGUGCUAGACUACCAAAAUAUGUUUUGCUUCGAUAAUUCUUAUUUAUGUACUAACAAUGUUCUGGGUCCAUGUUCACAUUGAAGCUUAUAGAUCACAAUCCUAAAAUCCUUCAUAGACAUACAUAUUUUCAUUCUAAGCCAUUAUAUAGUUCUUUGUUUUGGAAAUUGUCUAGCCUGACAUUUUUCAGAAUUUGUACAAGUCUUUUAACAAAUUUUGGUAUCCUUUGGACAGGAAGCUUUAGAAUGCUGGUGGCUGAUGGGGAUUAUAAGAACUUAAAUGCCAGAGAAGUCGUGCUCCCCUUUACGACGAAGACUCAGACUUGAAGUCCCUUAUGUGCUUGAUACAAACGCCUCCCUUUUUUGUACUUAGAAUGACUGGUGUCUGACACAAACUCACUAUUAUAAUCAAGAGUCAAGACGAUUGUUGUGCAAUACGACAGGCGAAACCUAAUUCAUG